This is a long non-coding RNA of Amblyraja radiata (thorny skate), 1626 nucleotides long. RefSeq lists it as uncharacterized. The transcript has 2 exons. NCBI's taxonomy places the organism in Eukaryota, Metazoa, Chordata, Chondrichthyes, Rajiformes, Rajidae. The record is from RefSeq and is a predicted model, not a curated record.
ACGGAUUAGAUUGUGGAUGAUCAGCCAUGAUCACAUUGAAUGGCGGUGCUGGCUCGAAGGGCUGAAUAGCCUAAUCCUGAAUCUAUUGUUUAUUGUCUAUUAAGCGGCUAGCUACCAGAGCAACCACUAAACUCAGGAGUAACUUAAGAUGGUUGAUGUUUGUGAAGGAUUUUUUUUUAAACAGACAAUUCUGAAAAAGGAUCUCAUCAGACAGAGGACUUCAUAUCUGCACAGAAACCACAUCAUGAUCCUUGCCUUUCAACAGCAAAACAAUCAAAGUCCUUCCACAUUUCCAGAACAAUUCCAUGACUCGACUGCAACAAAGGUCGUAGGAUGCAGGAAGAGAAAUCCAGAGAGUUUUCAUCUGGCUGCAAUGAAUGUAAAUGGAUUAAAAAGAUAAUUCAGAUUCAAAUAACAUGGAUUUAAUGUUUAAAUUUUCCAUCAGUCACAGUCACAUAGGCAUUGUUGGGUAAAUCGCAUGCCCUUUUCCUGUUGUUCAAAAUUCUGAUAAUCAAUUCUUGUGGAUUUUACUUGUUGAUACAUUGAAACAGACACUUUAAGUAAGUAAUGUGACAACCAGUUUUGGUCUAACAUGUUGGGGAAUUUCUUAUUAAAUAACUGCCUGUGUUAUCCAUGUUGACUCUUGUACACUGAUUCAGUGUGGUCUGCUGUCUUACACGUUUGUCCUUAGUGUGUUUGUACGCUUCCCAGCAAUCCGCGGAUGAGCCGAGGCCGGAGCCUCGCAGGACGGAGCCCGCCGCCGGCCCCUGCGGCUGGGACCUGGAUUGGUGCCACGGAGGCCUCUGAAGAGUAGCGGUCAAUGAUGGCGCCGACUAAUGGACGAGGAUGGACACAUGGAAGUAAGGACGUUGCUGCCGGGGGAAGAAUGGACCACCCGGCGUGGGGGGACUGCCGUGAUGGAGCUGGAGGAGAACAAAUGGGGACCUGGCACGGGAUACUUUAUAAGCACCCUUUAUGUGGUGACCAUUUACAUACCUUGGGUAUGCAAGCAAGGAAUUUCACUAUGACUUGUCACAUGCGCCAGUAAACUAUUCAUUCAGGAAUGUCACUGAACUGAAUGCAAAAAAAUAAUUUUAAUGCACUUAGGUAGAAGUGAUAAUAAAGUCCCAUUGAAGUAUUGAACACAGUGUAGUUACAGCCUCACAUAUUAAGGAUGAGGUUUCGGGCACUUGUAAGCACACGAUACAAGAGGCCAAAGUCACAUGUCUUUGUUAAGGGGAGAUCUCACUUGGCAAAUCUGUUGGAAUUCUUUCUCAGGGUAUCUGAUGGAAAUAUGCAAAGUAUUCAUAGCAUUUUGCUGUUACAUUUGUCCCCUCUCUAUUAUUGUAUUCAGAUAAUAAAGUUACACUGAACUUCAUAGAUGAGUAACAUUUAGUCCUCACGUUCCUCAGAAAGGUAGCCAGCAAAAUGGUAUCAUCACUUGGAAUAAUUUUUCUUAAAUUAAUAUAACACUUACCAAAUUAUAUUUUGCAAACAAAAUGAAAUAUUUUCCUUACCUUCUACAUCAUUCCAAAGGAAUGCAUUUACAGAAAGAAAACCCUGUAAAUUUCAUACAUUUUAACUUUCUGCUUCAAUGAAAAUUCAAUAAAAACAAUGUCAAAACCA